CAAUGAGUGCAUUCUUGAAAACUAUCCUGAGUGUUCCAACCCCAGAUUAUUUUACAUCAUUCCAUAUUUUUGUGGACAGCAUCCCAGAUGCAGGGAGCCUGGUGAGUGGGCCCUUGAAAGAGCAAAACUGAACGUGAAUGAAAACUUCCUGCUUGUGGGGAUUCUCGAAGAGUUAGAAGAUGUGCUGCUUUUACUGGAAAGAUUUUUACCUCAUUACUUCAAGGGUGUGCUCAGUAUCUACAAAGACCCAGGUAACUCCCUUUGUAGAGGCUCUUUGGCGUUUUGAGGGUUACUCACCUUGAACGGGACUCGGGCCAAUAAAGGAGGGAAAUCUGUUCAUGAAGAGAGGUUGCCGCUGGCUUGCAGAGGAAGGGUAGAAUCACGAGCUAUCGAUGCCAAAAACUGGAGCUUCGGGUCCCAACCUAAACUUGCCAUGUUUGAAAGCCCUGAUGGUUCCAUUUCUCCCUUUGGAAAGUGCAACUGGCAACAUCUGCAUGGACCUUGUCCUGAGCGUGUUGCUGGAAUGCGCCAGCGAACAGACGUGUACAUGUUGGGAGUCCACUGAUGGAAACAGGAAUGUGAAGGAACCACAGCUUAAUACCCUUUCUGGGCCCUACUUCCAUUUGCCAAAGCAGUCUGGCGUAUAAAAUUUUGGCAAUAGGAUAGAGGGGCAAAUUGAAAAUGCAAUUAUGAUUUUACUCUAAUAAAUGGAGUGGUUUCCAAAUAGAAGCAAGAAAUGGAAUGCAGCAGGGCAAUCGCAGAGGUUGCCCAUAGAAAUAUAAUUACUUUCAGAAAUC
This is a non-coding RNA of Leptonychotes weddellii (Weddell seal), 797 nucleotides long. The record is from RefSeq and is a predicted model, not a curated record. NCBI's taxonomy places the organism in Eukaryota, Metazoa, Chordata, Mammalia, Carnivora, Phocidae.